CACACAUAUAAACACAAACAAACUCUCACACACAUAAACUUUUGCUAGGAACUUUAAUAAUAUCAAGUGUAAUCUCAUAUGCGAGGUCAUGACAUGGUGCGUCAUAGUCAGGGCUGCUCAUGCAUGCGCUCGCCAGUCAGAGUGACAUUUUUUCCAAAUCUUUUCCAACGUUUCAUCAAAGGUGAAGGUGAGGGAAAUGUAAUCAAUAUUGCUAUUCAAUUAAUAACAAACAGAUUCACGCUAAACCAUAUGAAUAAAUUAACAAUUAUCAUCCCCACCAAGACUUAUGCUUUAUCACGCUGACAUUAGAGUUAAUAAACUAUCUGUCUGACUCAUGAGGUGACAUUACAGUUAAUAAACUAUCUGUCUGACUCAUGACGUGACAUGACAGUUAAUAAACUAUCUGUCUGACUCAUGAGGUGACAUGACAGUUAAUAAACUAUCUGUCUGACUCAUGAGGUGACAUGACAGUUAAUAAACUAUCUGUCUGACUCAUGAGGUGACAUGACAGUUAAUAAACUAUCUGUCUGACUCAUGAUGUGACAUUUCCUCAACAGGUUGAUAGUUAAACUGUGAUACUAUCUGAGUCUGACUGAUGAGGUGACAUUUCCUCAACAGGUUGAUAGUUAAACUGUGAUACUAUCUGAGUCUGACUCAUGAGGUGACAUUUCCUCAACAGGUUGAUAGUUAAACUGUGAUACUAUCUGAGUCUGACUCAUGAUGUGACAUUUCCUCAACAGGUUGAUAGUUAAACUGUGAUACUAUCUGAGUCUGACUGAUGAGGUGACAUUUCCUCAACAGGUUGAUAGUUAAACUGUGAUACUAUCUGAGUCUGACUGAUGAGGUGACAUUUCCUCAACAGGUUGAUAGGUAUACUGUGAUAGACAGGAAUAUAACAAGAGGACUCUAUCUUCAUUAUGUACAGUUUUGAUAUGGAACGACAUCAGAACCUUCCAAGCACCUCCCUUCAUGUGUAUAACGCAACAUGAAACAGUGUUACAAGGGUAAUAAUGACAGGAGGGUUCUAUAGAGACAUGGAAAACGUGUGUUUGAUAUGGACUGACAGACUAGUAAUAACCUGUCAUAUGAGGUUUCUGAAACAGGUAUUCAAAAGAGAGUAAAGGCCACAGUAUAAAGAAGCAUGGCUUCACAGCACGGCUUCAAAGUACGGCUUCACAGCACGGCUUCAACGGCACGGCUUCAACAGCACGGUUUCACAGCGUGGUUUCACAGCGUGGCAUCAACAGCAUGGCUUCAAAGCAUAGCUUCAACAGCGUGGUUUCACAGCAUGGCUUCACAGCAUGGCUUCACAGCUGGACUAAGGUGGUAGAGACAGGAUAGAGGCUAAAGAGAUGGGAGAAAGAUGUUUUGUUAAAUC
This 1378-nucleotide long non-coding RNA is filed under the name Salmo salar (Atlantic salmon). RNAcentral's name for it is "lncRNA (ENSSSAG00000113045.1)". The record is from RNAcentral. Lineage: Eukaryota; Metazoa; Chordata; Actinopteri; Salmoniformes; Salmonidae.